AUGGACCACACGUCUACUGCGGCUCUGAGCGCGCCGUCCGCGCCCACCCGACAGCUGCUCGCGACCUGUUGUUAGCC
This 77-nucleotide small RNA is filed under the name Xanthomonas oryzae. RNAcentral's name for it is "sX9". It matches the Rfam family "Xanthomonas sRNA sX9". Lineage: Bacteria; Pseudomonadati; Pseudomonadota; Gammaproteobacteria; Lysobacterales; Lysobacteraceae. The record is from RNAcentral.